GAGACACAAGAGAGAAAUCAAAUACAAAAAAAAGAGAAUCGAAUAUACAAAUAGAGAAAAAUAAUCAGAAAUAUAAAAAGUGAGUGGCCUAGGUCUAUCAUCUCUGAUGAAAGAUGAUACCUUUAAACUAGGGAAGCCGAAAAAACCCCAAAAAAGCAAGUUUUUUUAUUUUUCGGCCAUCGUGGGGCGCGACGCCAUCGCCUGUAAUCAGCGGCCGUCACGGUGGCCCAGCGACCAGAGCCUUCGCCGGAGUUAUGCCGGACUGAGAAGGCUUGAGAGAAAAUGAGAGGCCAUCU
This is a long non-coding RNA of Gossypium arboreum, 296 nucleotides long. RefSeq lists it as uncharacterized. The transcript has 2 exons. The record is from RefSeq and is a predicted model, not a curated record. NCBI's taxonomy places the organism in Eukaryota, Viridiplantae, Streptophyta, Magnoliopsida, Malvales, Malvaceae.